AUCCUGGCAUCCUGUGCUCAUGGUGGUAGAGAAGUUUUAUGAAAGCUACUUGAAACGUGAGGAUCUGAGACUUUUUGAAACAUAGGUAUUAUUUGGUCCAAACUUGCUGGUUUACAGGUUGAGAAAAACGGUACCCAGACACGUGGAGUAGCUUUUCCAAGGCCACAGGUCACAUACUUAAGGAGGUGAGGCAAAAAGCCAGAUUCUCAGGAAGACAGAAUUCUAAUCCAGAAAUGGAUUAAUGUGUAGUCAUUUAUUUAUUCAUUUGUUCAUUCAGAUAAUCUUUCCUAAGUGCUUGUUAUAUGCUAGACACUAUCCUGAUUUCAAGGGAGUAUAUGUUAUGAAAAUAAAGACAACCCAAAUGAGAACAAACAGAGGCUAUUUAUUCCAUUUGUUAGAGCAAGGAAAUCAGCCACAGUAUCUUCCUUCUGGUAGAUACUCAAAGGCAGGCAGAGGACUGGCAAAUCUUUCUAGUGAAGAAGAAGGAAGGCUUCAGGCUUCCAAGUGAGAAGUUCAGGGCUUCACAAUUGAGAACCAGAAAGAAAAGGAGAAACUGGCCUUUGUUGAGUAUCAACUGUCAACAUUCUUGGAUAAGAAAGUCACGGAUACAGAGUCCUGUCCUAACUCGGAAACUCUGCUCCACCACUAUCUGCAGAGGAGAAGAAGUAUUUAAGCUGAAUACGUCCAAGUUGAUGUGGAUAAAAACCCAAGGAACUUUUCCUAAAGGAAGCCUCAUUUUAUUGGAAUGCAAGCAUUGCUGUGGAAUAGGGAAGAAGAGAAAGAAAAUGGGAAAAUGGCCAUCAGCAACUGCUUUUAAUGGAAAUGGUAUGAGGGCCCCUCACUCUCUUCUACACGGUUUGAGUCCAUGCUCCCCAGAGAGCAAAUCUGAGGCUGCAAUGAAAAUACUUCAUUUGAGAAAGCCUGGUCUGCAAGUUCUCUCUUCUUUGAUGCCUCUUUGAGGGGGAAUGUUUCCAUUGUGUGUGGGUUUUUGAUAUGUAGCUUUGAAGAGAAUACUAAAUCCUUCCAUGAAAAGGUUGAAUAUUGUGCUCUUUGCUGAGUAAAGAGAGUUGUUGUUUUUGAGUAAGACUGAAAUCCCACUCAAAGUUCCCACUUAUUCACAAUCUGCCACUUCCUCAACAAGCACAUAAAUGCACCCUGCCUUUUAUUUACUUAUUUAUUUUCCAUGGAAGACAUAGCCAUUCUAUUGUUUAAUGAGAACAGAAAUGUAAGAAUGAAAGAGACUAAAGCAUGGAAAUGCAGGUAAGAUUUUUUGAAGAGUGAGGAAAAAAAAUUGAAGCAGGGAUGAAAUGUCUCUAGGCUAGAGGCAUGAUGUACUGAAGUCGGAAAUGUUGGAGGCCGAAGUCUGCAAAGGCCACACUACAUGCUAAAUUCUCUCACUCCCAA
This 1404-nucleotide long non-coding RNA is filed under the name Callithrix jacchus (white-tufted-ear marmoset). RNAcentral describes it as "lncRNA (ENSCJAG00000084779.1)". The record is from RNAcentral. Lineage: Eukaryota; Metazoa; Chordata; Mammalia; Primates; Cebidae.